GCGGGUAUGGUGAAAUGGUAUCAUGCGAGCUUCCCAAGCUUAAGGCGCGGGUUCGAUUCCCGCUACCCGCUCCA
RNAcentral lists this transfer RNA (74 nucleotides) under Leisingera daeponensis. RNAcentral describes it as "tRNA-Gly". It matches the Rfam family "tRNA". From Rfam's summary of the family: Transfer RNA (tRNA) molecules are approximately 80 nucleotides in length. Their secondary structure includes four short double-helical elements and three loops (D, anti-codon, and T loops). Lineage: Bacteria; Pseudomonadati; Pseudomonadota; Alphaproteobacteria; Rhodobacterales; Roseobacteraceae. The record is from RNAcentral. RNAcentral also lists the same sequence under 30 other names.